Molecule: long non-coding RNA, 988 nt
Organism: Mauremys reevesii (Reeves's turtle)
Lineage: Eukaryota; Metazoa; Chordata; Testudines; Geoemydidae
Exons: 3
Source: RefSeq, a predicted model, not a curated record
GGGGCCUGGGGGCCUGGCGCUGCCGCAGGCUCCUUGUGGGCUUGGCUACAGGAGAACUGCGGUGCCUCUUCCUCCCUCCUUCCUUCCCUCCAUCCCUCCCUCCUUUCUUUCUUUCUUCCCUUCUUUCUUUUCUUUUCUUUUCUUUUCUUUUCUUUUCUUUUCUUGUAAAAGCAGAGACAACCUCUGCCACCCCCCAUUGCCAUGAUAACUGCAGGGGACAAGCAAUUUCACACAGUAAUUUCACAUGCCUGGAGAUGCGCUUAUAGCUCAAGUCAGCGAAUUGUUUAUUAAGCGAAGAGGACGUGCGAGAAGCGCAGCUGAGAGGCAAUACAAUGACUGGACUUGCAAAUCUCCCAGCCGGGGAUGUGCUGUUCUGGAAGGGGAUGUGAAGUGUCUCUGAGUUUGAACGUCGUGAGUCUGAUUCUGCUCUUAGCCUGUACACUAGGAGUCAGGAAUGACUCCGUUGAAGUCAAAGGAGAUACGCCAGUGCAAAACUGGUGCAACGGAGAGAAAGGGUUCCCUAGCAUCACACCGGGGGAUUGGAUCCCUUCACCUAUCUGUACUCUGGAGGUCUCCCAUCCAAAAUGGAGCCAGCCCAUUGCUUGAGGUGGAAUGACUGCAGGCCACGAGCAUUCUUCUUUCCAAGGAUAAAAUAAUCCAAUGCCCUUGGAGAGUGCCGGACAAAUGCAUCGCCUAGCCUUUCGCUUUAAUCCAAUUGCGGUCGCUUCCCAGAACUCCCUCCUGAAAGCUGGCAGUGCAGUCUCCAGUACCUUUAUGUUCCCAGGUAAAAGAGCCGUAGCGCAAAGAGGAUGGAAAGCACAUUUCAGAACAGCAAUUCCUUACUGCCGAGCUGAAGGAUGUCACUGAACUGUGAGAAAGCAGGGAAGGAAGAAGGAACUCUCCUUUGCUGUCAGAAUCCUUAAGAGAGCAUUAGGAGAGAGGCUGUGUUCAGGGCUGCAUCUUGAGUAAAUCCUGGUUUAGCUGAUUG